GACGAACGCUGGCGGCGUGCCUAAUACAUGCAAGUAGAACGCUGAAGGAGGAGCUUGCUUCUCUGGAUGAGUUGCGAACGGGUGAGUAACGCGUAGGUAACCUGCCUGGUAGCGGGGGAUAACUAUUGGAAACGAUAGCUAAUACCGCAUAAGAUUGACUAUUGCAUGAUAGUCAGUUAAAAGUUGCAAUUGCAUCACUACCAGAUGGCCCUGCGUUGUAUUAGCUAGUUGGUGGGGUAACGGCUCACCAAGGCGACGAUACAUAGCCGACCUGAGAGGGUGAUCGGCCACACUGGGACUGAGACACGGCCCAGACUCCUACGGGAGGCAGCAGUAGGGAAUCUUCGGCAAUGGACGGAAGUCUGACCGAGCAACGCCGCGUGAGUGAAGAAGGUUUUCGGAUCGUAAAGCUCUGUUGUAAGAGAAGAACGAGUGUGAGAGUGGAAAGUUCACACUGUGACGGUAUCUUACCAGAAAGGGACGGCUAACUACGU
This 494-nucleotide ribosomal RNA is filed under the name uncultured bacterium. Its description in RNAcentral is "partial 16S ribosomal RNA". It matches the Rfam family "Bacterial small subunit ribosomal RNA", at positions 28 to 506 of the family's 1533-position model. The record is from RNAcentral.